GAUGAACGCUGGCGGCGUGCUUAACACAUGCAAGUCGAACGAAGCACUUUAUUUGAUUUCCUUCGGGACUGAUUAUUUUGUGACUGAGUGGCGGACGGGUGAGUAACGCGUGGGUAACCUGCCUUGUACAGGGGGAUAACAGUUGGAAACGGCUGCUAAUACCGCAUAAGCGCACGGCAUCGCAUGAUGCAGUGUGAAAAACUCCGGUGGUAUAAGAUGGACCCGCGUUGGAUUAGCUAGUUGGUGAGGUAACGGCCCACCAAGGCGACGAUCCAUAGCCGACCUGAGAGGGUGACCGGCAACAUUGGGACUGAGACACGGCCCAAACUCCUACGGGAGGCAGCAGUGGGGAAUAUUGAACAAUGGGCGAAAGCCUGAUGCAGCGACGCCGCGUGAGCGAAGAAGUAUUUCGGUAUGUAAAGCUCUAUCAGCAGGGAAGAUAAUGACGGUACCUGACGAAGAAGCACCGGCUAAAUACGUG
RNAcentral lists this ribosomal RNA (481 nucleotides) under uncultured bacterium. RNAcentral's name for it is "partial 16S ribosomal RNA". It matches the Rfam family "Bacterial small subunit ribosomal RNA", at positions 28 to 507 of the family's 1533-position model. The record is from RNAcentral.